UACGUAGGGGCCAAGCGUUACCCGGAUUUACUGGGCGUAAAGCGCGUGUAGGCGGAAGCGAAAGUCCGGUGUGAAAGCCCCCCGCUCAACGGGGGAAGGUCGCUGGAAACUGCGCUUCUUGAGGGCGGCAGAGGGAAGUGGAAUUGCUGGUGUAGCGGUGAAAUGCGUAGAGAUCAGCAGGAACACCCGUGGCGAAGGCGGCUUCCUGGGCCGCGCCUGACGCUGAGACGCGAAAGCGUGGGGAGCGAACGGG
RNAcentral lists this ribosomal RNA (253 nucleotides) under uncultured bacterium. RNAcentral describes it as "partial 16S ribosomal RNA". It matches the Rfam family "Bacterial small subunit ribosomal RNA", at positions 524 to 776 of the family's 1533-position model. The record is from RNAcentral.